This 2107-nucleotide long non-coding RNA is filed under the name Gossypium barbadense (sea-island cotton). RNAcentral describes it as "long non-coding RNA (GBAR_LNC013380)". The record is from RNAcentral. Lineage: Eukaryota; Viridiplantae; Streptophyta; Magnoliopsida; Malvales; Malvaceae.
AAGUUUUUACACACUUCUCUCUGCAAUUUCGACACUUAGAAAAUUUUGUUAAGGGUUGCUGUAACUGGAGGACGGAGGCAGAGAUGUAAGUGAAUUUGUCCGCUGACGAAACGGCACCGUUUAAGUUAAGUUAUAAGUUUUGCGGCGCUUCCCUAUAAAACGCCACAAUAGAAUCCGAUUCCCUAAUUCACAGAACGAUGCCAUAUAUUGUAAUAAUUGUGGCGUUUUUGACUAAAACGCCGGUAAAGGAUACCUUUUGCGGCGUUUUUAUAUAGAAACGCCGCUAAAACUCUCAUUUUCUUUUUGUCUUACUUUUAAAUAAUUAAUUACCAAUUUAUUUAACAAAUAAAUAAUUACUAACUUAUUUAUUUGUUUAUUUAUUUAUACCAAUUUUAGUUUGGUCCUAUAUUUACAAAUUAAAUAUUUAAUAACUAUAUAUAUAUCCAUAUAUAUUCAUAUAUAUCCAUAUAUAAGUAAAAAUAUAUACAAUGGACGUUAAUUUGGGUUAAAUAUUUUGCCAGUUAUAACUAUUAUUAAUUAUUAGUUAUAUUAACAAGUCUCAAAUUAUAAAUUAACCUUGUAAUCUUCAUAUUAACCAUUCAAUUUAUAUAUGUAGCUACGUACAUGCAUAAAGUGAUCAUCUUAUACCUAUUAUACUCAAAACUUAUCUUAAUAUUAAAUUUAUUCUGGAUAUAUAUUUUACAAAUAUAUAAGAACAUAUAUAUUUACCUCCAAAAUUAAUCAAUCUAAUAUUAACCUAUUAAGAAACCCUAAACCCCGGCCAAACCCCUAAAACAUCUAUAACCCUCAGUAAACCCUAAACCCUAAUAAUUUACCAUAUACCCCUAAAUUCACAUAACCCCUAAAGCAUAACCUAGCCCCUAAACCCUAAACUAUAAAUACCAAACCUUAAAUUCAUUUAUACCGGCCCGUACUCCUUAGAAUACCAUGCAUCGACCAAAAUAUUCCCUAAAUAUUCUUUAAUAAUAAAAAAAUAUAGUGAAAAUCUAUUAAAAUAUAAUAACUUAUAUUUAUAUAGUUAAAAAUAUUGUAUAAAGUUGAAAUAAGGAAGCAAUAUUAUCUUUAUGACAAAUUUUCGUAUGAAGCUUCGAAUGUCCUCUUAACAAAUGGAUGAAAUUUGUUAUAAUAAACCUGGUACAACAAAUUUUGUCUCUUUGUAUAAAAAACAAUUUUUUAUUAUAAAAUUUGGUAUAGAAAAUGUAUUUUUUUCGAUAAUAAGUUCGUAAAGGAUGAGGACACGGGUUAAAUGGCCUUUAAAGAAACGGCGCUGCUUAAAUUAAUUUUAGGUCACAUUUGCGGCGUUUGGCGUAAAAACGCCGCUAUUGCAUGCCUUUUGCAGCGCUACCGGAAAAAAUGCCACUAACUUUUCAAUUACAGAAAGAAACGGUGACGUUUUCACAAAAUUGUAGACAUAUUUGCGGCGUUUUACCUUAAAACGCCACUAAAUUUUCAAUUACAGAAAGAAACGGUGACGUUUUCACAAAAUUGUAGACAUAUUUGCGGCGUUUUCCCUUAAAACGCCACUAAUAGAGUACACAUUCAACUGAAACGACGCCGUUCUGACACAGUUUCAAGAAUAUUAGCGGCGCUUCCCUAUAAAACGCCACAAGAGAAACUGAUCCCUAACACGUAACGACGUCGUAUUGAUCCAUAUAAAACACGAACUUUAGCGGCGCUUAGCAAAAAAUGCCGCUAAAGAACAGAGAAUUAGUGGCGCUCAAAUAAAAACGCCACUAAUGAUACGAGCAUUACCGGCGCUUAGACAAAAACGCCGCUAAAGAAUAGAGAAUUAGUGGCGCUCAGAUAAAAACGCCACUAAUGAUACGAGCAUUAGCGGCGCUUAUACAAAAACGCCGCUAAAGGUUUAAAAAAUCGUAAAAACGACGUCGUUGGUUUUAGCCUUUUUUGUGGCGCUUUACAUAAAACGCCGCUAAUACCUAUUAUUGGAGGCGCUUGUUGGAAAUCGCCGCUGAUGGUCUACCUUUAGCGGCGCUUUGACUAAAUCGCCGCUAAUGCUCGAUUUUUUGCGGCGCUUUUCUUUCAAACGCCGCUAAAAGUGCCGUUAAAGGCUUAUUCUGGUGUAGUG